AAUAAUAUAAAGUUGAACAUGGAUUUAAAUAAAUCUCAACAUUGGUAUCAGAGCACUAGGUUGACGAAGAUCUGCAAGAAGACCUAACUACCCUUCGAGUAGGAAGCGGACCCUUCAAGUAAGAAAAAGGGAGGUUCAGCAGAAAUAAUUCAAGAUCAUGGAACCUGUGAUCACAUUCUCAAAAGACCGAAAUAUUGUGGGACACACAUUCUCAAAGAAAAGAAACACACGAGAUGACUGUGGUCCUUAGUUUGACGAGAAGAAUGUGUGAUAUCAAACAAAGUCCCACAUUAGAAAUUAGACAAAGAAAAAUCAAAUAUAAAAAUAAAUGUCCAACUCUAAUUAGUACGAGAUUUUUUAGAAAGAAAACCAAAAGUAAAACUAUGCGGGCUUGCCUGAAGCCCAAAGUAAAAAUAUGGUACUAAUCAAACAAUCGGACAUGGACGUAAUAAAUCCCAACACUUUCCACUCCCAUUCUUCUUCUUCAUCUUCUUCUUAGUCUGUUGAAUUCAUGUUGAAUCUAGUUUUAGUUUUUGCCUGUCAUUGUUUAAGACAUUGUCAAUUAUCUCUAACCAAGCCAAAUCAAGCUCUUGAGAUUCGUCGCUUGAUUUUCUUGAUCUGACGACUGACCUAUGGAGUGAUUAGUAUCCCCAUGAACAUUAUAGAUUCUUGAAAAGUUAGCUUUCAAGAAUAUAUUGAUGAAUCUCUUAAGAUUAUAAUCUAUCUAUCUAUAUAUAUAAAGUUGGCUUAUUUGCCUUCUUAGGCCGCCACAUCAGCAAGUAGGAUGGGGGAUUUUGCGCCACGUCAGCACUCUCUCCACUGUUCAAUAUGGGCCACCUUAUGUUAGUGUUCAAUAUGGGCCACUUUAUGUUAGUGUUUAGAUGAUAACGGGUGAAUCUGAUAAACGAACAAAAAGCCCAAUGUAACCUUUCUCUUUCUCCAUGGCGGUCAUCUGCUUGAAACUCCGCCGGCUCUGACGUAAUUGAGGUGUUACGUUUUCGUAUUCAUUGAAACCAUUAUUAAGAUUCGCCUUUAACUCUCUUAUUAAAACUCUUCCAUGGAGUCGAUUUAAGUUACCCUUUCAUAAUUUCCUUAAUCUGUUCAAUUAUAAAAGGGUUGCAUAAAACUCAGAAUCUCACUCUUCACCAGAUUCAACCCGUCUAAUUCAUUACACAUACGGUAGUAAGGCAAUCUGCAUUUCUUGGAAGUAUGAAAUUUUUUAAACUUUUUACGAUCCCUGUCUGCCUGCUGAAGUAGGAGACGAAGAGUACAAUAACAAUAUGUGGGGCCAUACACGGAUGCCUACCCUUCUACGGUCUACUCAAACCAGGAUGACCUCAGCAGAUUCCAUGUUUCAUAGCAGAGAGGAUAUGGUGUAGCCUCGGAAUAUUUCCCAGAGAAAGAAAAGUAUUUACGAUCCAACUCAUGGGGUUUGCCUUUGGAGAGCCCUGUAGCAAAAGUUUGUAGUGUUUUUUUUUUUUUUUAAAGCAUCCGGGAUAUAUCUGAUCCGUAUUCAACUAUAUCUCAGGGUUUAGCCCAAGUUUUGCAUCAAAAGGGGCUUUCUUAUGUUUCUUGAGAAGCAUCAUGAGCUCCAGUUUUGAGUCUUAUGAAGAAUACGUUGAAAUCCACAGCAGGUGCAUGAGACAACUUGGUCUUCCUGUCAGUAUGUUUUAAUCAUCACUGUUAAACAUCCACUCUUCUAAAUGUAUGGCUUGACCUGAUGAUGGUGAUUCCACAAUCACGUGCCUUCAAGUAAAACAGAUGAUGGGUAAGCUUAUGAUGAUGGUUAUACACGUAGGUGAUAUACAUAGCCUAAUACUUUAUUGUCUUAGAUUUAAACUUCUUUCAUGGUCAAAGAAAUGAAAUCAAUAUAUAACCACCUUAUACACGCAUCAACGGCUAAAACGUGCAGUGUUUUUAAUGAGAUAUUGAAAACUCUUAAAAACCUUUGGUCAUGCUUCCACGAGGUUAAUAUGCAAAGGGUUGCUCCAAAGAGUUACCAGCAAGCUGCUGGAGUAGUCUUCGUUUCACGAAAUUUUUAGCUAACUUUUGCAUCGAUCAGGACCUGGGAAUCACCUUGGGCAGCAAACUCAUGGCUUCUGGGCCAAGUCAGGGCUCUGUAGUAAUACACUCAACAAUUGUUUCAACCAGUUAAAUAUUUAAGAGGACAUGUUUUACAAGUUUGGAUAGUGCAUCAUCACAACUGCUCCUUGACUUAACUCUCUAUCUCAGUGUGUUUGACGAAUAAGCCAACCGCCUUCACCCAAAGUUUCAAACGUUUGGGUUUGAAACCAAAGAGGAAAAAUGGUUUUUUGUUAAUAAUAUUUUGAGGGUCUGUUGUGUUGUCUAAAUCUGGGAAUCAUCUGAUACUAAUUGACAAAUGGAUGGUUCUUCUAUAGGGAAGUAGGAGAUGAGAAAUCCAUCUUGGAGCUCGAGUUCUUGAUCUGAUUCUUUCUGAUUGCUCAUGUUAAAUAAUUGCUCCAACAACUUCAUAGUUGGACGGUUCCUCCAACAUCAUCGCUGCAGUUUCCACCGGUUCCAUAAUUGGUGUCUACAGCCCCUAUGAGUCCAAUGAUAUUUCCACUCUUUGGUCAGAAGAACAAAUACUUAUAGUAAACGAGUGACAACAUGGGCACAACUUGCUAGCAGCCGGCUACUGUAUGUACUCGAGCUCAGUCAUCUUUGUUCUUAUUCUAGGGAAAGACGUCUGCAAUGUACGGCGAGUUUGUCCUCACGCAAGAGAACAUCUAGAUCCCCAAAAUAAGGAAAAUAUACUCUUUCAAAUAAGGAAAGAUGUGGUACGAGAGUCUGGUGGAAGUACAUUGAUGAUCUCAAGGACCCUGGUCCAAGUGGGAAAUCUUACUCGCUAAGGUACAUUGGAAGUUUGGUCGUAAAUUUUCACAGGUCUUUGUUGUACAGUGGGAUUUACGGGUGCUGCCAAGAGCAGAAACGGAAUGCAUAAGCCCUUAGACUUCUAUUGUAAGCCAUUUUCUGACUACAUGGUACCUCUCAAAUUCCCAAUAGAUGCAUGACUUAUGCAAGUUCUAUUUUGUUAUCUAUGUCAAUAAAGAUAAAUCCGAUAUUUUACUAUAGAGCCAAAACUAAGUUAAAUUUAUACAAAGCAUAGUACUAGGUAAGGAGAAGUUACAUGCCGUAUUCCCAAGAUUCAUGAUUUUAGUUCUGUAACUAUUUUGUAUCUGCGAGAGCAAUGCACUUACCCCGAUUAUAGUUUAUAAAAAAAGAAUCACAUCUUAUUACUAUGCUUUUCCAAAAUUUUAGUGAAGCCAUAAAACCAAGCUAAUCGUUCGUUUAAAAUUGAUGAAGGUAAAAACAUAAGAAUCAUGGACCAAUUUAUCACUGAUUUCCAGCUACCAUUUAUCAUCGACAAUCAAGAUAAUUUUAAAGACUCUAACAAAGGUAUGGAAUUUAUAUUAACAUACCAUGAAAUAUAACAUCUCGACUCAACUGCUUAUUCAAGAGACCACCCAAUACAUAAUGAAUUUAUAAACAGCCGAUGACAAUAGAUGACAAUAACAUAACUGAUGAUCUUCAAGUUAUUCUUCCCAUCACAGACUACAACCAAAACUAUAAGACUUGACGUUGAUGAUCUUCAAGUUAUUCUUCCCAUCACAUACUACAACCAAAACUAUAAGACUUGAUGUUGACCUUAUCAUCACCAGUCUUGAGAGAACUAAUAGGCCUCCAAUUAAAGAAGAAAAAAACGAUACAUGCACGGUAUGCUUCGGAAAUUUCAACAAUGGAACCUGUCUAUGUUUUCUUACUUGCUGCCAUACUUUCCAUUGCCGCUGCAUUGACCAAUGGCUUCGUACAAACAUAAGUUGUCCCAUAUGUAGGAAAAGUUAUCUAUAAAUCAGCAUUAUUACAAUUUAUAAGUGGUUUCUUAUGUUCCAAUUUUCCGUUUCAUUUGCAUACUAUUUUCGAUUUUUGUUUUAAUUUUUAAACAAAAAAUAUAAAUGUUUUUCCUCAUUCUCUGAUGUGCUCCAUCGCCAGAAUUAGUUUCUCACCAAAAAUCAAAUAACACAUAUACAACUGAGUUAUGUUUGGUUACACACCUUUAAAUUCAGAUUAUUCUCUAAAAUAAAAUUUCAAAUGCUGUUCU
Molecule: long non-coding RNA, 4120 nt
Organism: Brassica napus (rape)
Lineage: Eukaryota; Viridiplantae; Streptophyta; Magnoliopsida; Brassicales; Brassicaceae
Exons: 6
Source: RefSeq, a predicted model, not a curated record